Molecule: long non-coding RNA, 891 nt
Organism: Hemicordylus capensis (graceful crag lizard)
Lineage: Eukaryota; Metazoa; Chordata; Lepidosauria; Squamata; Cordylidae
Exons: 3
Source: RefSeq, a predicted model, not a curated record
AGUUCACACUCUACCUGGCAGCAGGGGGUCUUCUGCUGCAGAGAACAGUGGAGGCCUCUCUGGCUGCCUCCUCCUUCCUGGCUUGCUUGGGCCCUACUGGAGUUCAGGCUUCACAGAGGCCUACACCAGACCUCCGUGGAAGCCCCGCCCACCCGCCGAUCAGCUGAGAGGCGGGAGAAAAGGAGCUCUUUGCAGCGUGUCUGCUGCUCGAUUGCCGGCCAGGAGAACAAGCUGGAGAGACGGCGAACAGGGCAAGUGGCUGAGGAGCCUUGGGGCUGGGCAGGGGGCAAUGGGGAGUCACGUGAGGUGCCUCUGGGGGGCCCCUCCAGGCAGUGGGGCCCCCAGACAACUGUCUCCCCUUGCCCUAUCGUUGUUACGCGCCUGGGAAGAAGCCUCACAGGAAAGUGGAAAGGGUUGCCCAAGCAGGACUAUCUAUCCUUGUCCUUUUUGCUGCAAAUCUCUCUCUCUCUCUUUUUUUUUUUUACUCAGGGUUUCUUCAUGCUGAAUGAACAAACUGCUAGACUGAACAAUGUCUACAACAUGGAUAUUAUAAUUUUCUUCUGUGAAAUGUUAUACUAACCACAAUGUUGACAACCACAGAUAAUACAGAAAUUAUUUUCCUCUUCAGGAAAAAGUGGCCCCAAUCCAAUUAAUUGAAGGAAAAUAGAACAACUGAUGGCCUCAAUUGUCAUUCGAAUCCAAUGGCUCAACUACUCAGUUCAAGAGAGUUCAGAUGUUCACUGUAGUUCACAGGAACAGGAUCCUACAGCAAACUGGCAGAAGGCAAGCAAAGACCCCCAUAGACAAGAAAGAAGAGUCAGGGGUCCAUAUGGGGAGACAUCAGUCACAUUCUAGGACAGACUCCGAAUGCCAAGCAUAGUCACAUCUAAC